This 450-nucleotide ribosomal RNA is filed under the name uncultured bacterium. RNAcentral's name for it is "partial 16S ribosomal RNA". It matches the Rfam family "Bacterial small subunit ribosomal RNA", at positions 354 to 796 of the family's 1533-position model. The record is from RNAcentral.
GUGGGGAAUAUUCCGCAAUGGACGAAAGUCUGACGGAGCAACGCCGCGUGAGUGAUGAAGGUUUUCGGACUGUAAAGCUCUGUUGUUUAGGACGAAAGUGCCUGUUGCAAAUAGUUACAGGUAUUGACGGUACUGAACGAGGAAGCCACGGCUAACUACGUGCCAGCAGCCGCGGUAAUACGUAGGUGGCAAGCGUUGUCCGGAAUUAUUGGGCGUAAAGAGCAUGUAGGCGGGAAUCUAAGUCUGUUGUGAAAAUGCGGGGCUCAACCCCGUAUUGCGAUGGAAACUGGGUUUCUUGAGUGCAGGAGAGGAAAGGGGAAUUCCCAGUGUAGCGGUGAAAUGCGUAGAUAUUGGGAGGAACACCAGUGGCGAAGGCGCCUUUCUGGACUGUGUCUGACGCUGAGAUGCGAAAGCCAGGGUAGCGAACGGGAUUAGAAACCCGAGUAGUCC